CCUACGGGAGGCUGCAGUGAGGAAUAUUGGUCAAUGGGCGCUAGCCUGAACCAGCCAAGCAGCGUGAAGGAUGACUGUCUUCUGGGUUGUAAACUCUUUCUACAGGGGAAUAAAGUGCAGUAUGUAUACUGCCUUGCAUGUACCUUACGUACAAGGAACGGCUAACCCCGCGCCAGCAGCCGCGGUAAUACGGAGGGUCCGAGCGUUAUCCGGAUUUAUUGGGUGUAAAGGGAGCGUAGGCGGGAUGUUAAGUCAGGUGUGAAAGUUUGUGGCUCAACCGUAGAAUUGCAGUUGAUACUGGCAACCUGGAGUGCGGUAGAGGAAGGCGGAAUUCGUGGUGUAGCGGUGAAAUGCGUAGAUAUCACGAGGAACUCCAGUGGCGAAGGCGACCAGCUGGAAUGUAACUGACGCUGAUGCGCGAAAGUGUGGGUAGCAAACAGGAUUAGAUACCCGUGUAGUC
This 460-nucleotide ribosomal RNA is filed under the name uncultured bacterium. RNAcentral describes it as "partial 16S ribosomal RNA". It matches the Rfam family "Bacterial small subunit ribosomal RNA", at positions 338 to 795 of the family's 1533-position model. The record is from RNAcentral.